CACAAUUCCUCGGAGGAAAAGCAUCAAAAUGGCGGACACCGUGGGAUUUCUUCUAAUACUGUGAAAUGAGUAUAUCAGCAUGAUUAGAGGUAGGAAGGUGACUGAUCCUGUUGUACAGGGGACAACCUUAUCUUAUGACACAAAACCAGGACUGACAAAAGCUUGGGAUACAGUCAACAGAGCUAAGACUGAGUUACAUAAAGCAGAACAACGUCUCGAAGAAGUGGAGCGUCAUAGCGUACCAACGCAGCUGAACCAGACAGGGGAGACAAGUAUUACUGAUUACGGUGUCUUGGCAUGAACAGAGAUCAUAAUGAAACUUACAGUUUACCGGAUGAUU
Molecule: long non-coding RNA, 340 nt
Organism: Ruditapes philippinarum (Manila clam)
Lineage: Eukaryota; Metazoa; Mollusca; Bivalvia; Venerida; Veneridae
Exons: 4
Source: RefSeq, a predicted model, not a curated record